Molecule: ribosomal RNA, 253 nt
Filed under: uncultured bacterium
Lineage: Bacteria
Description: partial 16S ribosomal RNA
Rfam family: Bacterial small subunit ribosomal RNA
Source: RNAcentral
UACGUAGGGUGCAAGCGUUAAUCGGAAUUACUGGGCGUAAAGCGUGCGCAGGCGGUGAUGUAAGACAGGUGUGAAAUCCCCGGGCUUAACCUGGGAACUGCAUUUGUGACUGCAUUGCUAGAGUGUGGUAGAGGGAGAUGGAAUUCCGCAUGUAGCAGUGAAAUGCGUAGAUAUGCGGAGGAACACCAAUGGCGAAGGCAAUCUCCUGGACCUGCACUGACGCUCAUGCACGAAAGCUAGGGGAGCAAACGGG